Molecule: small RNA, 125 nt
Filed under: Marmota monax (woodchuck)
Lineage: Eukaryota; Metazoa; Chordata; Mammalia; Rodentia; Sciuridae
Source: RNAcentral
GCCGGGUGUGGUGGCGCACACCUGUAAUCCCAGUGGAUCCGGAGGCUGAGGCAGGAGGAUCACGAGUUCAAAGCCAGCCUCAGCAAAAGUGAGGUGCUAAGCAACUCAGUGAGACCCUCUCUCUA